Molecule: long non-coding RNA, 610 nt
Organism: Spea bombifrons (plains spadefoot toad)
Lineage: Eukaryota; Metazoa; Chordata; Amphibia; Anura; Pelobatidae
Exons: 2
Source: RefSeq, a predicted model, not a curated record
AGGCAUUAUAGGGUGCUGUUAUAUGGUAUAGAGGAGGGUUAUAUGGAGGUCGUAUAUGAAGUAAUAUGAUGGGUUAUAGGAACGGGUUAUAUGAGGUCAUAGGGGUUAUAGAGAGGGGCUAUAUGGAGCAAUACGAGGAGUUAUAGAGAGGGGCUAUAUGCAAUGAUAGGAUGAGUAAUAUGGAGGGGUUAUAGGAGUCAGUAGGGUCACACGGGUUUAAGUGGUUACCCGUAUUUAACCAUUAUUUAAUUGAUUAGAAGUAAACCACGCACUUCGUCAGACUCUACUAGAAGAAUUACAGUUGUUCGGCACAAAGCCGUUCCAACAAUUCUGUGUUUUAGCUCCGCAGUCCCAACGAAUAAUGUCUCACGGGUACCACGAAUCACGCCGGCAGCGUCUCUGUCUUCCUGACAAACUUCCCUUUCUGAGCCGGAAAAAGCAAAUUAUUUUAUUAGCGAUUUGUCCUCCUCCUCUAAACACAACUACCAAAACUACGGUUCCCUUACGACUGGGAUUAUACGUAAUGCUGAUUUAUCUGUGAUUUAUAGGGAAAUUACCAUAAUUUGUCUUUCUUUAUUACUAGCAUUGGAUUAAAAUUACUUUUUAAAAA